RNAcentral lists this long non-coding RNA (843 nucleotides) under Marmota monax (woodchuck). The record is from RNAcentral. Lineage: Eukaryota; Metazoa; Chordata; Mammalia; Rodentia; Sciuridae.
AAAGAAGUAGGAAGAGAAGGAGGAGGAGGAAAAGAAGAAGGAGAAGAAAAUGAACCUCUGUGCAUUCUCUUUUCAGGCAUAGAAGGAUCAUCUCAGUAUCUCAGAAGCCUCUUUGACUUCUCAAAAUCCCUUCUUCCCUUUACCACUAGGAAACCUCUUUCCAAACUUUCCUUUUCUUUGUAGAUUUACAAUCCAUGCAAGUAUCCACAAAGGAUCUCUUGCUCGGUCUUGAGUGAGUAGCAAACACAACCUCAAUUGUUAUUAAAAAGUAGGUUCCUGGGAGAAGAUAGGUUCAAUUUCAUCUCCAGGUGCAAUUUUUUAGAUUUACUGUGCAGACAGUAUCCCUCUGGAAAGCUCGUGGGCAAUUCCGGGGUUGAACCUGGAAAAAUGGGCUCAAACACUGCUAAGGCAUCAAAUUGUGGGUCCAGCAGUGACAUGGUCUAUAAGACAGCUGCUCUCAUCUCUCCAGUUCUGACCUUCACUGUUCAGGAGAAGGCUAGAGGAGACGAUUUCUGUGAGGUGAAAUGAGGACCCUCAGCUGAUGCAAGCAGUAGGUCAUGGAGGAGAAAGAAUAAACGAUUAGAACAUGGACAAGAUAAGUAAAUAAGCUUAGCUGGGCACUCUGACCUUGAUUUUAAAGAAAGGCAGCAGGGAUCCUGCUCACAACCCUCUGGGCACCUCUCCGGGUGAGGGUGCUUCCAUCUGGAUUGUGUCCUCUGCUCAGCUCAGGGCCUCCCUUCAUCACCCCAAGGAUGCCUUUUUCUCUUUCUUUGUCGAUUUUCUCGUGUAUUCCAUGCCUUUUCUUUCUUGGUUUACUCUCUAAUUUUAGUAGUGUGCUUCCUU